RNAcentral lists this ribosomal RNA (479 nucleotides) under uncultured bacterium. Its description in RNAcentral is "bacterial SSU rRNA". It matches the Rfam family "Bacterial small subunit ribosomal RNA", at positions 28 to 516 of the family's 1533-position model. The record is from RNAcentral.
GAUGAACGCUGGCGGCGUGCUUAACACAUGCAAGUCGAACGAAGAUGCCGGAGUGCUUGCACUUUGGCAGACUGAGUGGCGGACGGGUGAGUAACGCGUGGGUAACCUGCCUUAUACAGGGGGAUAACAGUUGGAAACGACUGCUAAUACCGCAUAAGCGCACGGUAUCGCAUGAUACAGUGUGAAAAACUCCGGUGGUAUAAGAUGGACCCGCGUCUGAUUAGCUAGUUGGUGAGGUAACGGCCCACCAAGGCGACGAUCAGUAGCCGGCCUGAGAGGGUGAGCGGCCACAUUGGGACUGAGACACGGCCCAAACUCCUACGGGAGGCAGCAGUGGGGAAUAUUGCACAAUGGGGGAAACCCUGAUGCAGCGACGCCGCGUGAGUGAUGAAGUAUUUCGGUAUGUAAAACUCUAUCAGCAGGGAAGAUAAUGACGGUACCUGACUAAGAAGCACCGGGCUAAAUACGUGCCAGCAGCC